AAUAAACACUGCACUGUAUUGUCUGCCUUAUCUCAGUACUGACUGUGGGCUCAGAUUCAUAGUACAGUUCAUCAACUUCUCAGCAUGAUGGAUAAUGAAUGUUCCAUUUACAUCACUAAUUUCCAAGCUAUGGUUCCUGCAACCUUUAACCCAUAUGCUGUAUCCCAUUAUCAGUGUAUGUCAAUGUAAUUGCGUUUAGCCUUCUAAGUCAUAAACUUUCUUUUAUAGAGAGAAAUAUUUUUUUCACAAAAAAUCAU
Molecule: small RNA, 257 nt
Filed under: Nannospalax galili (Upper Galilee mountains blind mole rat)
Lineage: Eukaryota; Metazoa; Chordata; Mammalia; Rodentia; Spalacidae
Description: sRNA (ENSNGAG00000001982.1)
Source: RNAcentral